This 492-nucleotide ribosomal RNA is filed under the name uncultured bacterium. RNAcentral's name for it is "partial 16S ribosomal RNA". It matches the Rfam family "Bacterial small subunit ribosomal RNA", at positions 29 to 507 of the family's 1533-position model. The record is from RNAcentral.
AGUGAACGCUGGCGGUAGGCCUAACACAUGCAAGUCGAACGGCCGCACAGUAAGAGCUUGCUCUUACGGGUGGCGAGUGGCGGACGGGUGAGGCAUACAUCAGCAUCUACUUUUUCGUGGAGGAUAACGUAGGGCCACUUCCGCUACUACCUCAUACGACCUACGGGUUAAAGCAGGAGAUCUUCGGACCUUUCCUGAUUCUUUUAGCCGAUGUCGGAUUACCUAGUUGGCGGGGUAAAGGCCCACCAAGGCGACGCUCCGUAGCUGGUCUGAGCGGAUGAUCAGGCAAAAUGGAACUGAGAAAAGGGCCAGAAUCCUAAGGGAGGGAGCAGUGGGGAAAAUUGGACAAUGGGCGCAAGGCUGAACCAGCCAUACCGCGUGGGGGAAGAAGGCCCUCGGGUUGUAAAGACCUUUUGUUGGGAAAGAAAAGCAGCAGGUUAAUACCCCGCUGUUCUGGAGGUACCCAAAGAAUAAGCACAGGCUAACCUAGUG